Molecule: ribosomal RNA, 253 nt
Filed under: uncultured bacterium
Lineage: Bacteria
Description: partial 16S ribosomal RNA
Rfam family: Bacterial small subunit ribosomal RNA
Source: RNAcentral
UACGUAGGGUGCGAGCGUCAAUCGGAAUUACUGGGCGUAAAGCGUGCGCAGGCGGUUCUGUAAGCCAGAUGUGAAAGCCCCGGGCUUAACCUGGGAAUGGCAUUUGGGACUGCAAGGCUUGAGUGCGGCAGAGGAGACUGGAAUUCCUGGUGUAGCAGUGAAAUGCGUAGAUAUCAGGAAGAACACCCGUGGCGAAGGCGGCUCUCUGGGACGGUACUGACGCUGAGACGCGAAAGCGUGGGGAGCGAACAGG